CGCACAUUGCGCCCUCUGGUAUUCCGGAGGGCAUGCCUGUUCGAGCGUCAUUAUCUCCCCUCAAGCUCAGCUUGGUGUUGGGGCCUGCCCACCGUGGGCAGCCCUUAAAAUCAGUGGCGGUGGCCGUCUGGCUCUAAGCGUAGUAACUAUUUCUCGCUAUAGGUCCGGGCGGUCUCUGGCCAGAAACCCCCCAACUUUUAGUGAUUGACCUCGGAUCAGGUAGGGAUACCCGCUGAACUUAA
This 242-nucleotide unclassified non-coding RNA is filed under the name Helotiales sp. Its description in RNAcentral is "partial contains 5.8S ribosomal RNA, internal transcribed spacer 2, and large subunit ribosomal RNA". Lineage: Eukaryota; Fungi; Ascomycota; Leotiomycetes; Helotiales. The record is from RNAcentral.